GGGUGCCUAAUACAUGCAAGUCGAACGAGUUCUCGUUGAUGAUCGGUGCUUGCACCGAGAUUCAACAUGGAACGAGUGGCGGACGGGUGAGUAACACGUGGGUAACCUGCCCUUAAGUGGGGGAUAACAUUUGGAAACAGAUGCUAAUACCGCAUAGAUCCAAGAACCGCAUGGUUCUUGGCUGAAAGAUGGCGUAAGCUAUCGCUUUUGGAUGGACCCGCGGCGUAUUAGCUAGUUGGUGAGGUAAUGGCUCACCAAGGCGAUGAUACGUAGCCGAACUGAGAGGUUGAUCGGCCACAUUGGGACUGAGACACGGCCCAAACUCCUACGGGAGGCAGCAGUAGGGAAUCUUCCACAAUGGACGCAAGUCUGAUGGAGCAACGCCGCGUGAGUGAAGAAGGCUUUCGGGUCGUAAAACUCUGUUGUUGGAGAAGAAUGGUCGGCAGAGUAACUGUUGUCGGCGUGACGGUAUCCAACCAGAAAGCCACGGCUAACUACGUGCCAGCAGCCGCGGUAAUACGUAGGUGGCAAGCGUUAUCCGGAUUUAUUGGGCGUAAAGCGAGCGCAGGCGGUUUUUUAAGUCUGAUGUGAAAGCCCUCGGCUUAACCGAGGAAGCGCAUCGGAAACUGGGAAACUUGAGUGCAGAAGAGGACAGUGGAACUCCAUGUGUAGCGGUGAAAUGCGUAGAUAUAUGGAAGAACACCAGUGGCGAAGGCGGCUGUCUGGUCUGUAACUGACGCUGAGGCUCGAAAGCAUGGGUAGCGAACAGGAUUAGAUACCCUGGUAGUCCAUGCCGUAAACGAUGAAUGCUAGGUGUUGGAGGGUUUCCGCCCUUCAGUGCCGCAGCUAACGCAUUAAGCAUUCCGCCUGGGGAGUACGACCGCAAGGUUGAAACUCAAAGGAAUUGACGGGGGCCCGCACAAGCGGUGGAGCAUGUGGUUUAAUUCGAAGCAACGCGAAGAACCUUACCAGGUCUUGACAUCUUUUGAUCACCUGAGAGAUCAGGUUUCCCCUUCGGGGGCAAAAUGACAGGUGGUGCAUGGUUGUCGUCAGCUCGUGUCGUGAGAUGUUGGGUUAAGUCCCGCAACGAGCGCAACCCUUAUGACUAGUUGCCAGCAUUUAGUUGGGCACUCUAGUAAGACUGCCGGUGACAAACCGGAGGAAGGUGGGGAUGACGUCAAAUCAUCAUGCCCCUUAUGACCUGGGCUACACACGUGCUACAAUGGAUGGUACAACGAGUUGCGAGACCGCGAGGUCAAGCUAAUCUCUUAAAGCCAUUCUCAGUUCGGACUGUAGGCUGCAACUCGCCUACACGAAGUCGGAAUCGCUAGUAAUCGCGGAUCAGCACGCCGCGGUGAAUACGUUGCCCGGGCCUUGUACACACCGCCCGUCACAACCAUGAGAGUUUGUAACACCCGAAGCCGGUGGCGUAACCCUUUUAGGGAGCGAGCCGUCUAAGGUGGGACAAAUGAUUAGGGUGAAG
This 1483-nucleotide ribosomal RNA is filed under the name Lacticaseibacillus paracasei subsp. tolerans. RNAcentral's name for it is "bacterial SSU rRNA". It matches the Rfam family "Bacterial small subunit ribosomal RNA". Lineage: Bacteria; Bacillati; Bacillota; Bacilli; Lactobacillales; Lactobacillaceae. The record is from RNAcentral.